GUUUACAAUGCAAGUCGAACGGAAACGAAAUAGCUUGCUAUUUGGCGUCGAGUGGCGAACGGGUGAGUAACGCGUAGGAAUCUACCCAGUAGAGGGGGAUAGCCCGAAGAAAUUCGGAUUAAUACCGCAUAAUCUCUACGGAGUAAAGAAGGCCUCUUUACAAUGCUUUUACUAUUGGAUGAGCCUGCGUUAGAUUAGUUAGUUGGUAGGGUAAAAGCCUACCAAGGCGACGAUCUAUAGCUGGUUUUACGAGAAUGAUCAGCCACACUGGAACUGAGACACGGUCCAGACUCCUACGGGAGGCAGCAGUGAAGAAUAUUGGACAAUGGGGGAAACCCUGAUCCAGCAAUGUUGCGUGUGUGAAGAAGGUCCGAGGAUUGUAAAGCACUUUCAGUAAGCAAGAAAAAUGUAAAUCUAAUAGAUUUGCAUGUUGACCACUUAUAGAAGAAGCACCGGCUAACUCCGUGCCAGCAGCCGCGGUAAUACGGAGGGUGCGAGCGU
RNAcentral lists this ribosomal RNA (501 nucleotides) under uncultured bacterium. RNAcentral describes it as "bacterial SSU rRNA". It matches the Rfam family "Bacterial small subunit ribosomal RNA", at positions 47 to 541 of the family's 1533-position model. The record is from RNAcentral.